GAACCUUCGGGGAACGAUGACGGCGUCGAGCGGGGGACGGGUGACGCGUGCGGAGGGAAGGGCCCUGAUGUGGGGGAGAAGCAUUGGAAAGGAUGGCUAAUACGGCAUAAUGGCUACGGGCCAAAGAGGGGGACCUUCGGGCCUCUCGCGUCAGGAGAUGGCUAGGUGGGAUUAGCUAGUUGGUGAGGUAAGGGCUCACCAAGGCGACGAUCCCUAGCUGGUCUGAGAGGAUGAUCAGCCACACUGGAACUGAGACACGGUCCAGACUCCUACGGGAGGCAGCAGUGGGGAAUAUUGCACAAUGGGCGCAAGCCUGAUGCAGCCAUGCCGCGUGUGUGAAGAAGGCCUUCGGGUUGUAAAGCACUUUCAGUCGUGAGGAAGGUAGUGUAGUUAAUAGCUGCAUUAUUUGACGUUAGCGACAGAAGAAGCACCGGCUAACUCCGUGCCAGCAGCCGCGGUAAUACGGAGGGUGCGAGCGUUAAUCGGAAUUACUGGGCGUAAAGCGCAUGCAGGUGGUUUGUUAAGUCAGAUGUGAAAGCCCGGGGCUCAACCUCGGAAUUGCAUUUGAAACUGGCAGACUAGAGUACUGUAGAGGGGGGUAGAAUUUCAGGUGUAGCGGUGAAAUGCGUAGAGAUCUGAAGGAAUACC
This 648-nucleotide ribosomal RNA is filed under the name uncultured bacterium. RNAcentral's name for it is "bacterial SSU rRNA". It matches the Rfam family "Bacterial small subunit ribosomal RNA", at positions 69 to 710 of the family's 1533-position model. The record is from RNAcentral.